This 21-nucleotide non-coding RNA is filed under the name Caenorhabditis elegans. Lineage: Eukaryota; Metazoa; Nematoda; Chromadorea; Rhabditida; Rhabditidae. The record is from RNAcentral.
UGUCACAUAUCGGUACGUAAG